This 909-nucleotide ribosomal RNA is filed under the name uncultured bacterium. Its description in RNAcentral is "bacterial SSU rRNA". It matches the Rfam family "Bacterial small subunit ribosomal RNA", at positions 8 to 910 of the family's 1533-position model. The record is from RNAcentral.
AGAGUUUGAUCAUGGCUCAGAACGAACGCUGGCGGCGCGUUUUAAGCAUGCAAGUCGAACGGCAGCUUUGGUAGCAAUACUGAAGCGAGAGUGGCGAACGGGUGAGUAAGACGUAGGUGAUCUACCCCUGGAUGGGGGAUAGUCCGUGGAAACACGGGGUAAUACCGCAUGAGGCCUUGGGGGUGAAGCCCCGAGGUGAAAGCUCCAACUGGAGCGUCUGGGGAUGAGCCUGCGGCCCAUUAGGCAGUUGGCGGGGUAACGGCCCACCAAACCGACGAUGGGUAGCCGGCCUGAGAGGGUGUACGGCCACACUGGAACUGAGACACGGUCCAGACUCCUACGGGAGGCAGCAGCUAAGAAUCUUCCGCAAUGGGGGAAACCCUGACGGAGCGACGCCGCGUGGACGAUGAAGGCCGUAAGGUUGUAAAGUCCUUUUGCAGGUGAAGAAUAAGCCGGGGAGUGGAAAGCCCUGGUGAUGACGUUAGCCUGCGAAUAAGCCCCGGCCAAUUACGUGCCAGCAGCCGCGGUAAUACGUAUGGGGCGAGCGUUGUUCGGAGUUAUUGGGCGUAAAGGGCGUGUAGGCGGCCCGAGAAGUCUGGUGUGAAAUCGCAGGGCUCAACCCUGCGGGUGCGCUGGAAACUGACGGGCUGGAGUCCCGGGGGGGAAGCUGGAAUUCCUGGUGUAGGAGUGAAAUCUGUAGAGAUCAGGAAGAACACCGGUGGCGAAGGCGAGCUUCUAUUCGAGGACUGACGCUGAGCGCGAAAGCGUGGGGAGCAAACAGGAUUAGAUACCCUGGUAGUCCACGCUGUAAACGAUGUGCACUAGGCGUGGGGCACGUCGGUGCUCUGUGCGUAGCUACGCGAUAGUGCACCGCUGGGGAGUAUGCUCGCAGGGUGAACUCAAAGGAUG